This 288-nucleotide ribosomal RNA is filed under the name Trichomonas vaginalis G3. Its description in RNAcentral is "5.8S ribosomal RNA". The stretch from base 1 to 137 matches the Rfam family "Eukaryotic small subunit ribosomal RNA", at positions 1671 to 1831 of the family's 1831-position model. Lineage: Eukaryota; Parabasalia; Trichomonadida; Trichomonadidae. The record is from RNAcentral.
GCCCGUCGCUCCUACCGAUUGGAUGACUCGGUGAAAUCACCGGAUGCUUACGAGCAGAAAGUGAUUAAAUCACGUUAUCUAGAGGAAGGAGAAGUCGUAACAAGGUAACGGUAGGUGAACCUGCCGUUGGAUCAGUUCUAGUUUUAAUAACUAACACCAACUUCUUUUAUUAAACAAAACCAAUACAAAAUUAAAAACUAACUUCAUCAAAAACCAAGUCUCUAAGCAAUGGAUGUCUUGGCUCCUCACACGAUGAAGAACGUGGCAUAAUGUGUUAAGUAACCGGAG